AGAAGUGAAGUCCGAAUAAUUUUCUCUGCUGUCCUUACCACCCUCUGCAGGGACUUCCAGUCAGAAGAGCAGCAGGCUCCUGCUCAGACAGAAAUGCAACUGGUCAGUAUGCAUUCUACAGUGCCUCUGUAGAAGGUGGCAAGAAUCGGAGGGGGGAGGAUUUGCCUCUCAUAACGUUGGUCCGACUGCCAACUCUUUUCUACCUUCCUCUCGCACCUGCAACCGGCUGACCGAGGAGGCGCAGUUCAUCUCGAGCAAGUCUAAUACUUCACAAGGAACUAACAAACUGAGGGAGUUGAAGUAGCGUGUUAAACAGAUGACCUGAUAAAUAAUCAGGAGGGCGAGAGUCACGUGAGGGAGGUCUAGGGUCAUGUGAUCUGGAGGGGCAUUCUUGGAAAUGGAGUGUGACAACGGAGCCGGAGGAAGCCAUGACACUGUUAUUUAAUUUAAAAAAUAAAGUAAUGUUGACAAAUUGUUUUGGUGAAUACAUACACAGGUCACAAGGGGUACAUUUUCUGAUUUCUCAACACUGAACUAAACUUUCAAAGUAAACUGGCUCAAAACAAUUUCUUGAGAGUCCCAUUUCUAUUUGGAAUUUCAUCCUUCAUCUUAUUUUCACCAAAUAAAGUGAUGUUGGUUUUCUCUUGAUGUGUAAUUAAGAC
Pygocentrus nattereri (red-bellied piranha) is the source of this 662-nucleotide long non-coding RNA. The record is from Ensembl. NCBI's taxonomy places the organism in Eukaryota, Metazoa, Chordata, Actinopteri, Characiformes, Serrasalmidae.